GGCUAUCACUUCUGGAUGGACCUGCGGCGCAUUAGCUUGUUGGUGGGGUAACGGCCUACCAAGGCAGUGAUGCGUAGCCGAGUUGAGAGACUGAUCGGCCACAAUGGGACUGAGACACGGCCCAUACUCCUACGGGAGGCAGCAGUAGGGAAUCUUCCACAAUGGGCGCAAGCCUGAUGGAGCAACACCGCGUGAGUGAAGAAGGUUUUCGGAUCGUAAAGCUCUGUUGUUGAAGAAGAACGUGCAUGAGAGUAACUGUUCAUGCAGUGACGGUAUUCAACCAGAAAGUCACGGCUAACUACGUGCCAGCAGCCGCGGUAAUACGUAGGUGGCAAGCGUUAUCCGGAUUUAUUGGGCGUAAAGAGAGUGCAGGCGGUUUCUUAAGUCUGAUGUGAAAGCCUUCGGCUCAACCGAAGAAGUGCAUCGGAAACUGGGAAACUUGAGUACAGAAGAGGGCAGUGGAACUCCAUGUGUAGCGGUGGAAUGCGUAGAUAUAUGGAAGAACACCAGUGGCGAAGGCGGCUGCCUGGUCUGUAACUGACGCUG
Molecule: ribosomal RNA, 546 nt
Filed under: Limosilactobacillus equigenerosi
Lineage: Bacteria; Bacillati; Bacillota; Bacilli; Lactobacillales; Lactobacillaceae
Description: bacterial SSU rRNA
Rfam family: Bacterial small subunit ribosomal RNA
Source: RNAcentral